This is a long non-coding RNA of Chlorocebus sabaeus (green monkey), 229 nucleotides long. RefSeq lists it as uncharacterized. NCBI's taxonomy places the organism in Eukaryota, Metazoa, Chordata, Mammalia, Primates, Cercopithecidae. The record is from RefSeq and is a predicted model, not a curated record.
GCUUGACCGCCACUUCAGGGCUCCUCGUGUAACGUCAUAGAGAGGCGGGGCUGCGACGCCAGAGAGCUGCUCCUCGGCCGGUGACGGAGUUGAUAAGCACCGAGUUGGUGAGGAAACUAAAACCCUCAGACCAGCAACAUCGCCAUCACAUGGGAGCUUGUGAGAAAAGCAGAAUCUUGGGCCCCACUUCAGACUUGCUGAGUCAGAAUCUGUACAUCCACCACUGAGG